GGCAACCUGACGGAGCAACGCCGCGUGAGGGAGGAAGGCCUUAGGGUUGUAAACCUCUUUUCUCUGGGAAGAAGAACUGACGGUACCAGAGGAAUAAGCCUCGGCUAACUCCGUGCCAGCAGCCGCGGUAAGACGGAGGAGGCAAGCGUUAUCCGGAAUUAUUGGGCGUAAAGCGUCCGCAGGCGGUUAUUUAAGUCUGCUGUUAAAGCCCACAGCUCAACUGUGGAUCGGCAGUGGAAACUGAAUAACUUGAGAGCGGUAGGGGUAGAGGGAAUUCCCGGUGUAGCGGUGAGAUGCGUACAUAUCGGGAAGAACACCAGUGGCGAAGGCGCUCUACUGGGCCGCGACUGACGCUGAGGGACGAAAGCUAGGGGAGCG
Molecule: ribosomal RNA, 378 nt
Filed under: uncultured cyanobacterium
Lineage: Bacteria; Bacillati; Cyanobacteriota
Description: bacterial SSU rRNA
Rfam family: Bacterial small subunit ribosomal RNA
Source: RNAcentral